UACGAAGGGGCGGAGCGUUAUUCGGAAUCACUGGGCGGUAAAGACGUGCGUAGGCUGUUCUGCAAGUCAGGAGUGAAAGACCCAACGGCUCAACCUUGGAAGCGCUCUUGAAACUGCAGGACUCGGAUUUGGGAGAGGAUAGCGGAAUUGUCAGUGUAGCAGUGAAAUGCGUAGAUAUUGACAGGAACACCAGUGGCGCAAGCGGCUAUCUGGACCAACAUCGACGCUGAGGCACG
This 236-nucleotide ribosomal RNA is filed under the name uncultured bacterium. RNAcentral's name for it is "partial 16S ribosomal RNA". It matches the Rfam family "Bacterial small subunit ribosomal RNA", at positions 524 to 755 of the family's 1533-position model. The record is from RNAcentral.